GAAGCCUAUAUUGCAGUUUACUCAUUUUACUGAAACAAAAUUGCAGCAUAAGCACCAGUUUCACAUGGUCUUUCCCUACCUGAAGUAUAAGCUUUGCAAAAUGAAUAAUACUGGAAGUUAACAUUAGGUGUCAGUAUUUUACAUAUUAUUUAGCAAAAGAAUAUCAAGGGAAAGAGCUUCUGUGAAAAAAAAAAAAAAAAAAAAAGAAGGAGAAUAUUGCAGUCUGCUUUUUCAAAUGCUUUAAGUUAUCACAGUUAGAGUAAUAUCAGGAAUAAUUAUGUGUGAAAUAAUUAAUUGUGUAUACCCCGAAUGCUUCUUGCUAGUUACAUCUCUGAUUUAAAAUUCAAUACUAAGUACCACGGCUUUCUAAUUGUGAUAACACUUCAUUCUUGGAUUGUCUGAAGAAAUUACAUUUUUCAAAUUGAACUGCAGGACAUGAGGAUCUGUAGAUGACAGAAAAUUGAUACCCAGGUAGAGGGAGAAAAUGCCUACAAAAUGAAGGCAAAUGUGAGUAUGCAGAUACCUGGUUGUGUGUGAUCUUUUCCAGCAGCAUAAACAACAUAUAAAAAUGCACAGAACUCUUAAGCUCACUGCAACUGUUGAAAAUAUGAGGAAGAAAUACUAUGGGAUCCAUCUGUGCAUUUUUAACCCUGUUCUGCCAUGGGAACACCAAAGCCAAGGCAAAGUCUCCCUUCACAAGCAGCAAAGGAUGCCUUUGUCUUCCAAAAGAACAAUAUAGUCUGAGGGAAGGAAAGGGCAUGAAAUAAUAAUGUUUUCAUCUGAGCUUGUGGCAUUACAGAGAGUGGGAAGGAUGUGACUCCUUUGAAGAGCUUGAAUCCCAAAAAUUCCUUGUCUGACAGUGACAGAACCCACCUUGAUUUCAUUUUACCAGCAAAUUAUUAUACAUUGGUAGACGUAGUAAAAAAGAUGCAAGAAAGGAUGGAAGAUACUAAACCAAAAUAAUUAACUUUUUAACCUGUGUUAGAUAUUCCCAAACAGUACUGGGUACACUGGGAAUUCCCUGUGAAAUUACAGCCUUUGGGGUAGGGAUGGGCUUUGGUUGGGAUCAAAAAGGUGAAAAGAAACAUUUUGGGGCUAAAUCCACAGAGGGGCCUGAUAGGAUGUGUCGACAUCAAAGCAGCCACAUCAAUAUUUUAUUUUAAUACGUUUCCCUGAGUCACAGAAUUGCUGAGGUUUUAAAAGAACUCCAAGAUCAUAGAGUCCAACCACUCACACUGCCAUGUUCACUGUUAUACUGAAGCCAUGGUGAGGUAGGUGUGUUAUUUCCUAUAAAAAGUGUGUAUAAAAUACAGUUCACAGGGAGCUGACAUGCCCAGAGACCCCUCCAAAACCUCUGCAGGUUCCCAUCUGAACCCCUGGGCCCUGAAGCUGGUGCAAAUAUAUUUCUGAAAAGCUGCUCACUCUCUGAGACCAGCUGAGAGACAGUUUUGCAUCGUAAGCUUAAACUUUUGUCAAUAUUUGUGAAAUAUAUUUAGACAGCUUAUUCAGAAAUGAGUAAGUUAUAGAUCAGUAAUUCAUACUUUUUAUAUCCCGAGUUUUUAUUUCCUAAACUUACUCUUCUAAGCAUCGUUUUAUGUUUCUAGUUAAAUAUAAGUGAGAAUUGAUUGGGGUAUUUCUCAAUGGAAUUCUAUCUUUAUUUCAUCAUAAUUGCUUCAUAUUUGAAUAAUGACAGAUGAACUACUUCAUUCAAUUGCAGUUUUAAGGCUUUGAAGUCACAAUAGCAGCAAAGGAUUUAAAUCCUGAAACCAUUAUUAUGGCAGAGAAGACAUCAGGGAAAAGGAAAACUUAUGGUAGUGUAAUUUUCUAGACAGAAAAAUUCUUCUGCGGUUGCACUUUUUUUCUUUUAUUAUAUUUUCUCUGGACAUUUUAUUAAUGUUAAAAGAACCCUGGAAGAAGAGAUUGGAAAUGCUGAAUGAGAGUCCUACUGUAAGUAAACUUCUGUAGUUAUUUGGCUUUGGAGCUGGCUACAAACCUUUUAAAAUUCUGGGCAGCUGCAAUACUGUAUUUCACCAAUAAAGAGUUCAUUAGAUCUUUCUUCUCUCUGACAUUUUACAUCUAGUCCUGAGUACAUGUUAAUACUCCAAGGUAUGAAUUUCAAAGUUCCCUUUAUCUUUGUGUACAGUUUUAAGCAAUUAAUCAAAUGAUAAUAUACAGCUUUAAGAUUAGAAACGAAUUGUGAAUUUAAAGUAUAUGUUCAAAAAGUUUCUACAUUAUAAUUUGGGGGGGUGGGACCUCAUCAACUGAACUUAAUUCUGGUGUUAUUUUUUAUUUUUUUUUACCUUACAUUUUACUGAGGAAUUUUGAAGUGAUCCUCAAAUUGUUAAAACAUGACCAAAUGGUCUAUCCAGGAUAGUUCUUCCUCCUCAGAGGCUACAUCAAAGUGGCAGAGACAUAGAAAAAUCAUUAUUCAAUAUGUUCAAAAUGAUUCCCACGUGGGGGAAGAUUUAUCCAGGCUUCUGAAAUGAGCGUGGGGGCAAACAGCGCCGAGACCCCUUCAUCUGAAAUAAAAGUGAGUGGCAGCUGUACCAUCCCUGAGCAAGGCAGGAAUUUGAAGAUAUGCAUGAAGUGUGCUGGGGUGGGGGUUGCCACAUAAUUUUGGCAGCUGGGGCCAAAUCCAACCUCUUGAGUUCAACCUGUAACUUUUCUACUCCGAGGACGUUCCUGGUGCCUCAGUUUUGAAAGCCUGGGGUGGGGUGGCUGCUCCAAAGGUAAUUGGGAUGGAACAUCUGCAAAGUUCCCUUUGAUACCUGAGCACAAGGCAUUAAGGACUGGGGGUUUCUAAAUGUCAUCAAUGAAUACCAGCAGAAACACGCUUGUAAUUAUUUUGCCUGUAUUUUCUGUUUUAUUCACCAAGGUGUGUCAAGCACACAACACCCUUUCUUCUUAAUGACUGUGUUAUUUUAAUUUUCACCUGGGAGGUUAAAGGCAAUAUUCAGAAAUAUUCAUUCUUCAGACAAGACAUGGAAGCAGUUGUAACAUCUUAGCUGAAGGCCUAAUGUUUAAUGGGUUUUUUUGCUCAGAAGAUUUAGGAGGGUCACAGUAACUGGAGCUUGAAAUAAAGAUCUGGAUACCCCCAUUCACCAAUAACCUGAUUUCCUGACAUCUCCCAGAUGCUGUGAGAAUACAGCAAUUGCCUGCCAGAAGGAGGGAGCUGAGGAAAAGGGCAAAGGGGUAGAGCCAUGCACACAAACUACAAGGAUCUGUAUAUUACAUGAGCAAAUAAAAUCACAGGAAGGGAUUGGAACUGACAUAAGGAAUUAAUUAAUUCAACUAACUGCUUCAAGUCUUUGAUAAACUGAUUUAUUUGAUGCUUCCCAGUCCAUUCCAAGCAGCACAGUCUCCCCUGAAAGCUUCUGGACAUGAGAGAGGACAUUAAUCUGUCUGCAGAGGAGUUUGACAUCCUGCAACUGACUCUCCCUUGCAUUUGUUGUUUUCUUUUUCCUGGCACCAGUGCCUGGACAGUUCUCGUGUGCUCUGGGAUGGCAGCAUGGCUGAGAGCAGAGCUGCCACUUGGAUAGAGCAAGAGACAGGAGAAUACUUCAGCAAUUCUUAUUUCCACUAGAUUUGAUGGGCACACAUUGGUUUUUUUCGUGAAUAGCUUUUUUGGCUGCUUGCUUUUGCUUUGUUUAUUUAUUUAUUGUGAAUGGGGACUUCGAUCCUGUAGACAUGAGACUGAUUUUCCUCAAAGGCUGAAGCAGAAGGAGAAAACAUCUCAGACCAUCUUAUCUUUGUUCUCUGUUCCUCCUUAGCAUGGGAUUUUACAGGAUUUGGGACUUUCUCCACUGGAAACUAUUCACCAAGUAACUCACACUCCUUUAACAGAGGUAGAAGCAACACUGGCUGAGCAUCAUUUUUGUGCUAAGGACUGACAUAUUCCUUCCAGACUCUUCCUUCACCACAAAAACAUUGACAAAAACAUUGUUUUUGUAGCUCUGACUUGAUCACGGGCUCAUAGAUCAAGAUAUUGCCUCCCUGAGAGCACAACUCUUUUCUUUUAAGGUUCCUUAUUGUGUGAUAAAGUGUGUAAAACCACCUUUUUUGGCAGUUUGGUAUUGUAGUACUUUUAGCACUCCAGAAAAUACAUUUACACUGCAUUUCAAGCUUGCAUGUAACUAAAUCCUGUCAAGGAAAGUCUUUACAUAAUGCAUCAACAUAUGCUGGGGUUUUGUCUCUUUUUUUAGUACAGUAUGGCUAUACAAUGGAUUGGAGUGGCUUUUCUAAGUUAUUAAAUAUAGCCCUAGGCAAGGCUGGCUUUUAAAAUAAAUGGCAAGAUCCGUAAAAACA
Melospiza melodia melodia is the source of this 4305-nucleotide long non-coding RNA. RefSeq lists it as uncharacterized. The transcript has 3 exons. NCBI's taxonomy places the organism in Eukaryota, Metazoa, Chordata, Aves, Passeriformes, Passerellidae. The record is from RefSeq and is a predicted model, not a curated record.